GGAUUAGAUACCCUGGUAGUCCUAGCCGUAAACGAUGGGUACUAAGUAGGGGGGCACUCAAGGCCUCCCUGCCGGAGCUAAUGUGUUAAGUACCCCGCCUGGGGAGUAUGGUCGCAAGGCUGAAACUCAAAGGAAUUGACGGGGGCUCACACAAGCGGUGGAGCAUGUUGUUUAAUUCGAUGCAACGCGAAGAACCUUACCUGGGUUUGACAUGCAAGUGGUACCAAACCGAAAGGGGCGGGACCCUUCACGGGGAGCUUGCGCAGGUAUUGCAUGGCUGUCGUCAGCUCGUGUCG
This 296-nucleotide ribosomal RNA is filed under the name uncultured bacterium. RNAcentral describes it as "partial 16S ribosomal RNA". It matches the Rfam family "Bacterial small subunit ribosomal RNA", at positions 775 to 1067 of the family's 1533-position model. The record is from RNAcentral.